Anthonomus grandis grandis is the source of this 1382-nucleotide long non-coding RNA. RefSeq lists it as uncharacterized. The transcript is spliced from 2 exons. The record is from RefSeq and is a predicted model, not a curated record. NCBI's taxonomy places the organism in Eukaryota, Metazoa, Arthropoda, Insecta, Coleoptera, Curculionidae.
UUAGAUACAAGAGGGCUGCUGCCUGCUGCUAGGCGCUUGUCAACAUAUUUAUAUUGUUAUUGAUAACCCAUCUAUCAAUCUUUUGAGUUUCUUUCAUGUUUGAAUCUUGGAUGGUCCAUUAACUCAUACAUGCAGGGCAGGAAUUUUCGCAUGUGCACUGUUAAUAGUACCUUGUCUCGGAUGAACUUUAAGCAAUGACUAAUACCUAUAUUCCUUAUCGAUGAAAUGCAUGAUAUCGUAAACCCUGAGAAUUUCGUAUUCAACGCUCAAUAAGAGAACCUGGAGCUUUUCAUCACUGAAGGAGCUGUAGUCCACAAGACGGAACUGGAUGGGUUGAUUUAUAGACAAUUAUAGGUACUGACAAUGCACAUUUCUGCUGUCUCUUUCAUGUUUAAAUCUUGGAUGGUCCAUCAACUCAUACAGGCAUGGCAGGAAUUUUCGCAUGUGCAUUGUCAGUACCUAUAAUUCUUUAUAAAUCAACCCAGUUCCGUCUUGUGGACUACAGCUCCUUCAGUGAUGAAAAGCUUGAGGAUCUCUUAUUGAGCAUUGAAUAUGAAAUUCUCAGGGUUUGCAAUAUCAUGCAUUUCAUCGAUAAGGAAUAUAGGUAUUAGUCAUUGCUUAAAGUUCAUCCGAGACAAGGUACUAUUGACAAUGCACAUGCGAGAAUUCCUGCCCUGCAUGUAUGAGUUGAUGGACCAUCCAAGAUUCAAACAUGAAAAAGCCUCAAAGAUUCCUAAAUGGGUUAUCAACAUAUAAACUCCAAUACUGAUAACAUCCCAUAAGCUAUAUUGCAACUUUUGAUGCAAAGAGAGAAAGCAAUAUCAGUCAUAGUGUAAAUUUGGUAUAAGUGUAACCUUUGUUAGAAAACUGCACUAUGCACAUGAAUGACACUCUCAUAUGUUAUUGGCUAACUUCUUUGGUCAUUCAUGUUUUAGUAGAGUAGGACUCUUUCUUCAAAAUCAUUGGAGGAUCAUAUGAAAAGUAAGGUUAAAUGUACCACAGAAGCCAUCUACUAGCAAUUCAGAUAGUCAGUUGGUUUUAGAAGACUUCUAGGACUCCAUAUAUUUACAUAUUGCUUAUAAGAUCUGAGCCGAAAUGUGUUAAUGAAAUAGAAUUGCCUCGUUUUUCCACUCCACAUAAGGCUAGGAGGUUUAUCAGUUUGUGUAAGGGGAAAAUUGUGCAGCAGUCAAAGAAGAUCAGAAUUCUCAAUAUGAUGUUCAAUAGCAAAACAGAAGAUUAAAAAUCAAUAAUUUUUUAUUGUGACUGAUAUUCUUAAUCUGUUAUUGUGAUUAUUAUAAACAUGAUCUUUUUUCGUAAGGUUUACUUUAAAAAUAAUAGUUGUAUAAAAUAUUAAUAAAUAAAGUUAGAUUCAUAAAAUUUUA